This 732-nucleotide long non-coding RNA is filed under the name Triticum aestivum (bread wheat). Its description in RNAcentral is "long non-coding RNA (TAES_LNC002766)". The record is from RNAcentral. Lineage: Eukaryota; Viridiplantae; Streptophyta; Magnoliopsida; Poales; Poaceae.
AUGAAAUGCAGAAUUACUAACAUAAUUAAACUCGGCAAGCAAGGCAAGGGUACAAGUUAACUCACAGUAUGGGCAUAGAUCAUAUUGACUUCACCAAUGUCUUAUACACAUUACGCUGACAAACAUGGUCAAUACAAUGGCCAUCUACCAAAUAUUUUGGGAAUGGAAGUUAAACAGUACAGAAGCAUAUCAAGUCCGAACUGCUACCACAGACGAUGAGUUGUUCCCAAUUUCUACACGACAAGAUAUAGCAGCCAUAGAUCACCUCGGUUCACGCUCCCCGCAGCCAUCCAUUUUCUUAUGUUCUGUAAUUCUGCACGGGAUGCAAAAUUGCUGCUUAGCCUCCUCAUCCAUGUCAUGAGUAUCCUUUUAUCCAUUCUACACAUGCUGCAUAACAAAAAUUGAGGCAUCUACUGACAAAGAUUAUACAUCAAAGAAUGGUAGAAGAAAACAGUACAUGGACUGUACGAAGUAGACAUACAAAAAAAAAGUAAGGACAGUGAUAAGAUGUGCAACUGAACAUGAAGAAAAAAGAGGAGUUGCUGCAGGUGGCUGUACAUCCAGAGAUAUAGUACUGUAUUUGCAAAUGAACAUGGAGAAAGAAGGCUUCAGGGCCGAUGGAACUCACCUGCGAUACCAUUCUCGUCACCUUCGCAGUCACGUGGCCUCAUGGUUGUCCACUCCGUUUCUCAGUUUGUGACUUUGUGUGGAUCAUCCUGGGCGUCCUUCGCG